Molecule: ribosomal RNA, 280 nt
Filed under: uncultured bacterium
Lineage: Bacteria
Description: partial 16S ribosomal RNA
Rfam family: Bacterial small subunit ribosomal RNA
Source: RNAcentral
CCCCUUAUGUCCUGGGCUUCCCCCGUUCUCUCAAUGGGAUGCACAGAGAGCAACGAACCCGCGAGGGCAAGCGAACCCCAUAAAACAUCUCUCAGUUCGGAUUGCAGGCUGCAACCCGCCCGCAUGAAGUCGGAAUCGCUAGUAAUCGCAGGUCAGCAUACUGCGGUGAAUACGUUCCCGGGCCUUGUACACACCGCCCGUCACACCACGGAAGUCAUUAACACCCGAAGCCGGUGAGUUAACCGCAAGGAAACAGCCGUCUAAGGUUUUGGCGAUGAGA